UAAUCAAGUGUUUUUAUGGCACUUUCAAAAAUCCAUAUCCACCUUGUGUGCAAUGUCAUCUCUCUGGGGCUGCCGGCUGUCAAAAGCCGUGUGGUCACCUUUGGGAUUUAUAUCUACUCAGAACUUUAGUGAUUUUGUCUGAAACAUAUUAUGAAUACUUAAUUCAAAAUA
This 171-nucleotide unclassified non-coding RNA is filed under the name soil metagenome. Its description in RNAcentral is "partial internal transcribed spacer 1". The record is from RNAcentral.